Molecule: ribosomal RNA, 414 nt
Filed under: uncultured bacterium
Lineage: Bacteria
Description: bacterial SSU rRNA
Rfam family: Bacterial small subunit ribosomal RNA
Source: RNAcentral
GUGCCAGCAGCCGCGGUAAUACGUAGGGUGCGAGCGUUGUCCGGAAUUAUUGGGCGUAAAGAGCUCGUAGGCGGCCUGUCACGUCGGAUGUGAAAGCCCGGGGCUUAACCCCGGGUCUGCAUUCGAUACGGGCAGGCUAGAGUUCGGUAGGGGAGAUCGGAAUUCCUGGUGUAGCGGUGAAAUGCGCAGAUAUCAGGAGGAACACCGGUGGCGAAGGCGGAUCUCUGGGCCGAUACUGACGCUGAGGAGCGAAAGCGUGGGGAGCGAACAGGAUUAGAUACCCUGGUAGUCCACGCCGUAAACGUUGGGAACUAGGUGUGGGCGACAUUCCACGUCGUCCGUGCCGCAGCUAACGCAUUAAGUUCCCCGCCUGGGGAGUACGGCCGCAAGGCUAAAACUUAAAUAAAUUGGCGG